UACAGAGACUGCAAGCGUUAUUCGGAUUCACUGGGCGUAAAGGGUGCGCAGGCGGCCGUGUGUGUCAGGUGUGAAAGCCCGGGGCUUGACCCCGGAAUUGCGCCUGAAACUACAUGGCUAGAGCAUUGGAGAGGGUAGCGGAAUUCACGGUGUAGCAGUGAAAUGCGUAGAUAUCGUGAGGAACACCAGAGGCGAAGGCGGCUACCUGGACAAUUGCUGACGCUCAGGCACGAAAGCGUGGGGAGCAAAAGGG
This 253-nucleotide ribosomal RNA is filed under the name uncultured bacterium. Its description in RNAcentral is "partial 16S ribosomal RNA". It matches the Rfam family "Bacterial small subunit ribosomal RNA", at positions 524 to 776 of the family's 1533-position model. The record is from RNAcentral.